This is a long non-coding RNA of Equus caballus (horse), 2040 nucleotides long. The record is from Ensembl. NCBI's taxonomy places the organism in Eukaryota, Metazoa, Chordata, Mammalia, Perissodactyla, Equidae.
CCAAAUAGCACGUGAGGCCACUGGAGUCUGCAAAACCUUCCUUCCACCGACUGAGUUCCCUGCUGAUGCUAUUUGGAUAAUGUCUAAUUUGCCCUGCGUUUCAGAGAAGAUGGCUAUCUUGCAUAUAACUUAAGAGAAUCCCCCCCAGCUAAAAAUAGAAUUAUCUUAGGAAACACAUUUUUUCUAGGUGUUUUCUCCCUUAAGUCACAUAUUCUAGACUGCAGGCUGGGCCCACUCAGGAGUGACUCUCGCCAGGGUGAGAGAAUCUUGCACGAGUGCCUGUCACUCACCAGCUAAGCAUGGAAAAGUACUCCUGGAAAUGUGGCUCCUGGACUCUCUUCUUCAUCCCAGGUGUGUCUUCACUGCGGAGCUGCGCCAACACCUUUCUGCUUUACAACAUCCUUUGCUUACACAAGCCAUCAGGGCGUUCCUGCCAUUCCACCUACCUACCUGGAAACCCAGGUUCCUGUUUCUAAGGAUGAGAUCAGGAAGACAACAGAUUUCUGACUUCUUUUGGAGAAUUAAAAAAUCUGGGACUAGAAGGCUAUUUCCACUUAGCAACUUUCAGAUGGAUCUGACACAGUAACCCACAAAAUGAAUAUGGCCAAACACAGAAGACCAUCUCAUGGCCUGAGGAUCAUGGAGGCGCUCUGUUACUCCCUUCCAGAGAACCUACUGUAGGAAGCAUCACUGACUGAUGGCUUCCCAUGGACACAUCUUUGGAUUCACCACAAUGCUUAUGCCAAGCCUCACUUCUCUCAAGCUACUCUCUGCCAGUAACUAAGCACAACAGGGUACUGGAAUCUAGUCAUCCUUCCCAAUGUGGGAUUUUUCCAAGUGGCAACAUUGCCUUGGAUACUCCCCAUCAGCCUGGCCAAAAUUUUCUGCACUUUGAAACUCUGCCUACUCCAUUGAUCCUUCUCUCCUUCCACGAGUAUUAGAUCUGCAACAUGAUCUGAGGACCCUUCUUACCUGCUCCUGAUUCCCAACCCCUUUUCCUUUACGUGGCCCUCAAGGAUCCCCCUACUCCUGGUAUCCACACCCUUGCAUAGACAUCUCCAAGAUUAGGUUAUAAAAGAGGGGGUCUUCUGUUUUGGGUGCACUUUCUUGCUUGCUUUUGUAAUAUUUCUCUCUGUCUGUCUCUGAUUGCUUGCUCACUCUGAGGAGAACAAAUGCCAUGCUGUGAGCAACCUGUAGAAAGGCCUACAUAAUAAGGAAAUAAAGUUUAUCAGCAAUGUUGGUGAGAGACUGAGACCACUAACAACCAUGUGAGUGAGCCUGGAAGCAGCGACUCUGACCACAGGCAAGCAGGAGAUGAUUAUCUUCCUAGCCAACAACUGGACUGCAACUUCCCGAGAGACUCUGUGCCAGAACCAUCCAACUAAGCCACGUUUAGAUUCUUGACUCUCAGAAAAUGUUAGAUGUAAUAAAUACUUGUUGUUUAAAGCUAAAGUAUAUCGGAGUGCAAAUGAGUGAGAGUGGCAUUGCUUCAGGGUUACUAUUAAACUUCCUCUUGGAAAGAAAAAGAAAGAUAAGAAUUCACAAAUGUUUGGUGUUCUUAUUAUUUAGAACACGUUUCUUGUGAUGCAUCUCACAACUGGUAGGUCUCCUUUCAUCGUGGAUCUCAGCUGCAGAAGGCUGAUCUGUAUGGAUUACAUCAACAGGCUCCCAUCCCUCCUGCUUUGGUUUGAGCUCAACCAACACAGAGUCCUGGCAGGAAAUCACAAGCACAGAGAAGAGCCUGUCAGGGAUCUGAUUACUGGAUCCUGCCUCUGGAUAUGCGGCUGGUAAAGACUGGAAAGAACUAGAAAAUGAUGUAUAUGAGCUUGGAGGAUUUAUCCAGAGAAAUUCCCAACCAGAGCUGAUCUGCGUUUUACCUUCUCUGAAGUUGGUAGCUGAGGACUGAGUCUGUCUUCCAUUCACCUGGGCACCUUGCAAAAGCAUUUUUCUUCCCAUUUAGCUUUUGUUCACCUUUUACUCAUUUUCCCAGUUAUUCUCAGUGAGUGGAGAUGCAUUGGAUGAAAAUCACUGGACUACUGG